AUAAACGCUGGCGGCGUGCAUGAGACAUGCAAGUCGAACGGACGAUCAGGGCUUGCUCUGAUCGUUAGUGGCGGACGGCUGAGUAACGCGUAGGUGACCUGCCUCGAAGUGGGGGAUAACUGCCCGAAAGGGUGGCUAAUACCGCAUGUGGUGGUUCGUUCAGUCGAACCAUCAAAGCAGUAAUGCGCUUCGAGAGGGGCCUGCGUCCGAUUAGCUCGUUGGGGGGUAACGGCUCACCAAGGCGACGAUCGGUAGGUGGUCUGAGAGGACGAUCACCCAGACUGGGACUGAGACACGGCCCAGACUCCUACGGGAGGCAAC
Molecule: ribosomal RNA, 321 nt
Filed under: uncultured bacterium
Lineage: Bacteria
Description: bacterial SSU rRNA
Rfam family: Bacterial small subunit ribosomal RNA
Source: RNAcentral